Sistotremastrum niveocremeum HHB9708 is the source of this 343-nucleotide small RNA. It matches the Rfam family "5' ureB small RNA". The record is from Rfam. NCBI's taxonomy places the organism in Eukaryota, Fungi, Basidiomycota, Agaricomycetes, Sistotremastrales, Sistotremastraceae.
UCGUUCACUUGUUGGGGACAAAUGUAAUGGACGUGGGCAUCGAUAGCACCCGCGGUAACAAUGAGUUUCUCGCCCGCUAUGACCUCGGUCGAAGCGCCGACGACUAAUGAUGGGUCAACGCCGUCCAUAACGUCAGGAUUGCCAGCUUUUCCGAUGCCUGUGAUUUUUCCCCCUUUCACACCAAUAUCUGCCUAGUAUGAUAGAUCCAGCAACCGAGAAAGGAAGCAAUAGGCAAGGCAAACCUUGUAAAUGCCGGACCAAUCGACGAUCAGAGCGUUGGUAAUUAAAAGGUCGAUAGUUUCGGUGUGCGAGCGAUUGGUGGCCUGGCCCAUACCCUCUCUGA